UGGGGAAUUUUGGACAAUGGGCGAAAGCCUGAUCCAGCAAUGCCGCGUGUGUGAAGAAGGCCUUCGGGUUGUAAAGCACUUUUGUCCGGAAAGAAAUGGCUCUGGUUAAUACCUGGGGUCGAUGACGGUACCGGAAGAAUAAGGACCGGCUAACUACGUGCCAGCAGCCGCGGUAAUACGUAGGGUCCAAGCGUUAAUCGGAAUUACUGGGCGUAAAGCGUGCGCAGGCGGUUGUGCAAGACCGAUGUGAAAUCCCCGAGCUUAACUUGGGAAUUGCAUUGGUGACUGCACGGCUAGAGUGUGUCAGAGGGGGGUUAGAAUUCCACGUGUAGCAGUGAAAUGCGUAGAGAUGUGGAGGAAUACCGAUGGCGAAGGCAGCCCCCUGGGAUAACACUGACGCUCAUGCACGAAAGCGUGGGGAGCAAACAGGAUUAGAUACCCUGGUAGUCCACGCCCUAAACGAUGUCAACUAGUUGUUGGGGGAUUCAUUUUCCUUAGUAACGUAGCUAACGCGUGAAGUUGGACCGCCUGGGGAGUACGGUCGCAAGAUUAAAAGCUC
Molecule: ribosomal RNA, 559 nt
Filed under: uncultured bacterium
Lineage: Bacteria
Description: partial 16S ribosomal RNA
Rfam family: Bacterial small subunit ribosomal RNA
Source: RNAcentral